Molecule: unclassified non-coding RNA, 308 nt
Filed under: uncultured fungus
Lineage: Eukaryota; Fungi
Description: partial contains 5.8S ribosomal RNA, internal transcribed spacer 2, and large subunit ribosomal RNA
Source: RNAcentral
AACGCACAUUGCGCCUCCUGGCAUUCCGGGAGGCACGCCUGUUCGAGCGCCAUUUCAAACCCCAAGCUCAGCUUGAUGUUGGACGAUGUCUUCUGUGAGGAAGACAGGUCUGGAAGGUGUUGGGCGCCGCCGGCGGACCACGAGCGUAGCAAAAACAAGGUUCGCUUGUGAUUGGUUCCGACCGGUGGUGUGUCAAGGAGAGGUAUUGGACUGGCCGGUCUCUCGGUAAGACGAGAGGGUGAGCAGUCGAUAUUUCGAUAUACCAAAAGUUUGGCCUCGGAUCAGGCGGGGAUACCCGCUGAACUUAA